Oncorhynchus tshawytscha (Chinook salmon) is the source of this 790-nucleotide long non-coding RNA. Lineage: Eukaryota; Metazoa; Chordata; Actinopteri; Salmoniformes; Salmonidae. The record is from Ensembl.
CUGUAGUUGUUGCUGUAGCAGGUAUCAGUCUGUAGUUGUUGCUGUAGCAGGUUUCAGUCUGUAGUUGAACUGUAGUUGUUGCUGUAGCAGGUAUCAGUCUGUAGUUGUUGCUGUAGCAGGUUUCAGUCUGUAGUUGAACUGUAGUUGUUGCUGUAGCAGGUAUCAGUCUGUAGUUGUUGCUGUAGCAGGUCUCAGUCUGUAGUUGUUGCUGUAGCAGGUAACAGUCUGUAGUUGAUGCUGUAGCAGGUAUCAGUCUGUAGUUAUGUUGUUCCUUUGACUGAUAGUCUUUAGUUUAACUGUAGUUGUUGCUGAAAGCAGAUAUCAGUCUGUAGUUGUUGCUGUAGCAGGUAUCAGUCUGUAGUUGUUGCUGAAAGCAGGUUUCAGUCUGUAGUUGAACUGUAGUUGUUUCUGUAGCAGGUAUCAGUCUGUAGUUGUUGCUGUAACUGGUAUCAGUCUGUAGUUGUUGCUGUAUCAGGUAACAGUCUGUAGUUGAACUGUAGUUGUUGCCAUAGAAGGUAUCAGUCUGUAGUUGUUGCUGUAGCAGGUAUCAGUGUGUAGUUGUUGCUGUAUCAGGUAUCAGUCUGUAGUUGUUGCUGUAGCAGGUAUCAGUGUGUAGUUGUUGAUGUAUCAGGUAUCAGUCUGUAGUUGUUGCUGUAACAGGUAUCAGUUUGUAGUUGUUGCUGUAGCAGGUAUCAGUCUGUAGUUGAACUGUAGUUGUUGCUGUAGCAGGUAUCAGUCUGGAGUUGUUGCUGUAGAAGGUAUCAGUUGUUGUACUCGGGUUGAAGAUGUG